GACGGACGCUGGCGGCGUGCUUAACACAUGCAAGUCGAACGGUGAAGCGCCUUCCUUUUUGGUGGGUGUGGAUGAGUGGCGAACGGGUGAGUAACACGUGAGUAACCUGCCCCCUUCUUCUGGAUAACCGCAUGAAAGUGUGGCUAAUACGGGAUAUUCUGGGUCUGUCGCAUGAUGGGUCUGGGAAAGAUAUUGUUUCGGUGGGGGAUGGGCUCGCGGCCUAUCAGCUUGUUGGUGGGGUGAUGGCCUACCAAGGCGGUGACGGGUAGCCGGCCUGAGAGGGUGGACGGUCACACUGGGACUGAGACACGGCCCAGACUCCUACGGGAGGCAGCAGUGGAGAAUAUUGCACAAUGGGCGCAAGCCUGAUGCAGCGACGCCGCGUGAGGGAUGGAGGCCUUCGGGUUGUGAACCUCUUUCGCCAGUGAAGCAGGCCUGCCUCGUUUGUGGGUGGGUUGACGGUAGCUGGAUAAGAAGCGCCGGCUAACUACGUG
RNAcentral lists this ribosomal RNA (494 nucleotides) under uncultured bacterium. RNAcentral describes it as "partial 16S ribosomal RNA". It matches the Rfam family "Bacterial small subunit ribosomal RNA", at positions 28 to 507 of the family's 1533-position model. The record is from RNAcentral.